This 21-nucleotide non-coding RNA is filed under the name Caenorhabditis elegans. The record is from RNAcentral. Lineage: Eukaryota; Metazoa; Nematoda; Chromadorea; Rhabditida; Rhabditidae.
UUCAGAAACCAAUAAUUGUUU